Molecule: ribosomal RNA, 507 nt
Filed under: uncultured bacterium
Lineage: Bacteria
Description: bacterial SSU rRNA
Rfam family: Bacterial small subunit ribosomal RNA
Source: RNAcentral
AGCGAACGUUAGCGGCGGGCCUAACACAUGCAAGUCGAACGCGAAAGGUCUUCGGACUGAGUAGAGUGGCGCGCGGGUGAGUAACACGUAGGUAAUCUACCCUUUGGCGGGGGAUAACGUUCCGAAAGGAGCGCUAAUACCGCAUAAGACCACGGAGUCUCCGGACGCUGUGGGAAGAGGUGGCCUCUUCUUGAAAGCUACCACCGAAGGAUGAGCCUGCGUCCCAUCAGCUAGUUGGUAAGGUAAUGGCUUACCAAGGCGAAGACGGGUAGCUGGUUUGAGAGAAUGAUCAGCCACACUGGCACUGGAACACGGGCCAGACUCCUACGGGAGGCAGCAGUGAGGAAUAUUGGGCAAUGGGCGAAAGCCUGACCCAGCCACGCCGCGUGAGUGAUGAAGGCCCUCGGGUCGUAAAGCUCUGUGGAGAGGGACGAAAACCCUGGUUUCAAAUAGGCUCCAGGCUUGACGGUACCUCUUUAGCAAGCACCGGCUAACUCUGUGCCAGCA